UUCCCGGGUCUUGUACACACCGCCCGUCACACCACGAAAGUCGGCAAUACCCGAAGCCGGUGGCCUAACCCGCAAGGGAGGGAGCCGUCGAAGGUAGGGUUGAUGAGUUGGGGUG
Molecule: ribosomal RNA, 115 nt
Filed under: uncultured bacterium
Lineage: Bacteria
Description: partial 16S ribosomal RNA
Rfam family: Bacterial small subunit ribosomal RNA
Source: RNAcentral